ACGGAGGGAGCUAGCGUUGUUCGGAAUUACUGGGCGUAAAGCGCGCGUAGGCGGCUUUGUAAGUUAGAGGUGAAAGCCCGGAGCUCAACUCCGGAACUGCCUUUAAAACUGCAUCGCUUGAAUCCAGGAGAGGUGAGUGGAAUUCCGAGUGUAGAGGUGAAAUUCGUAGAUAUUCGGAAGAACACCAGUGGCGAAGGCGGCUCACUGGACUGGUAUUGACGCUGAGGUGCGAAAGCGUGGGGAGCAAACAGGA
This 253-nucleotide ribosomal RNA is filed under the name uncultured prokaryote. RNAcentral describes it as "partial 16S ribosomal RNA". It matches the Rfam family "Bacterial small subunit ribosomal RNA", at positions 525 to 777 of the family's 1533-position model. The record is from RNAcentral.